ACUAUUCUGUGAAAAAGUGUUUGUUUGUUAAUCAAAAUUUGCUGAAUGAUUUGCACUGCAAUUACAAAUAUGUAGGUUUUCAUUGCUUGUGGAGUAAGUAAAUCUAAUGGUCAAGCAAACGAUCCCUACCGCAAACCAAAACCAGGGAUGUGGCAUCUUUUGGAAAAACACCUCAACUCGGGCAUUUCUAUUGAUAUGGAUCCAUCCUUUUAUGUUGGUGAUGCUGCUGGAAGAGAAAAUGAUCAUAGUGAUGCUGAUAUAAAAUUUGCAGAGGUACUGACUUUUUCUUACUCUUUUUUGAUGAAAGUAAAAAGACAAUGUUCCUCAUUUUGUUAUAUUAUAACAAACUGAGUUUCUGUCCUUUGACCUACUAGUUUUCAAGUAAGCAUUUAGUAUUACUGUUGUAUACUUGUGUCAAAUUUGUAAUUCUACAUUAAAUUCAAGGUGUCAAAUAUGUUCAAUAAAGGCUCCCUUUAAUCCAAA
This is a long non-coding RNA of Humulus lupulus (European hop), 483 nucleotides long. RefSeq lists it as uncharacterized. NCBI's taxonomy places the organism in Eukaryota, Viridiplantae, Streptophyta, Magnoliopsida, Rosales, Cannabaceae. The record is from RefSeq and is a predicted model, not a curated record. The transcript is spliced from 2 exons.